CUCCCCUUCAUUCAAAAAACUUGAUCUGAAAUCAGGGGGGAUUACCCGCUGAACUUAAGCAUAUCAAAA
This 69-nucleotide ribosomal RNA is filed under the name Absidia sp. K3. Its description in RNAcentral is "partial 28S ribosomal RNA". The record is from RNAcentral. Lineage: Eukaryota; Fungi; Mucoromycota; Mucoromycetes; Mucorales; Cunninghamellaceae.